UGGUAUGAGCAUGCCCUCUCUUGUCUGAUCUCAGAAGCUAAGCAAGGUUGGGCCUGGUUAGUAUUUGGAUGGGAGACCGCCUGGGAAUACCAGGUGCUGUAAGCGU
Molecule: ribosomal RNA, 106 nt
Filed under: Sinocyclocheilus rhinocerous
Lineage: Eukaryota; Metazoa; Chordata; Actinopteri; Cypriniformes; Cyprinidae
Source: RNAcentral